CUUUAUUGGAGAGUUUGAUCCUGGCUCAGGAUGAACGCUGGCGGCGUGCCUAAUACAUGCAAGUCGAGCGAAUGGAUUAAGAGCUUGCUCUUAUGAAGUUAGCGGCGGACGGGUGAGUAACACGUGGGUAACCUGCCCAUAAGACUGGGAUAACUCCGGGAAACCGGGGCUAAUACC
RNAcentral lists this ribosomal RNA (177 nucleotides) under Bacillus cereus. RNAcentral's name for it is "partial 16S ribosomal RNA". It matches the Rfam family "Bacterial small subunit ribosomal RNA", at positions 1 to 170 of the family's 1533-position model. The record is from RNAcentral. RNAcentral also lists the same sequence under 1 other name. Lineage: Bacteria; Bacillati; Bacillota; Bacilli; Caryophanales; Bacillaceae.